This 288-nucleotide long non-coding RNA is filed under the name Elaeis guineensis (African oil palm). Its description in RNAcentral is "long non-coding RNA (EGUI_LNC017407)". The record is from RNAcentral. Lineage: Eukaryota; Viridiplantae; Streptophyta; Magnoliopsida; Arecales; Arecaceae.
UUCAUUCUUCACUUUCCUUUUAUUUACUCAUCCACCUACUUGCUAUACUAACUACUUGUUAACAUACUAUCUUAUUCAUAAAUUGACCAAGUCAUGAAAACUUGCUAACUUUUCUUUUGUCAUCUUGUUCCUUGCCAUUUCAUUUCAUUUGCAUGCUUAUCUAUUUGUUUAUUUUCUUUUUUAGAAAGUAAAAAGGGGGAGGUGUGCUUUCCCUCAUAAAGUUUUAUUAAUGAUAAUUUAGUAUGGUGGACAGAUGGUAUUGGUGGAGAUCUUAGAGUAGAAGAUAGG